AUUGAACGCUGGCGGCAUGCCUUACACAUGCAAGUCGAACGGCAGCGGGGGAGAAGCUUGCUUUUCCUGCCGGCGAGUGGCGAACGGGUGAGUAAUACAUCGGAACGUGCCCUGUAGUGGGGGAUAACUAGUCGAAAGAUUAGCUGAUACCGCAUACGACCUGAGGGUGAAAGUGGGGGACCGCAAGGCCUCAUGCUAUAGGAGCGGCCGAUGUCUGAUUAGCUAGUUGGUGGGGUAAAGGCCUACCAAGGCGACGAUCAGUAGCUGGUCUGAGAGGACGAUCAGCCACACUGGGACUGAGACACGGCCCAGACUCCUACGGGAGGCAGCAGUGGGGAAUUUUGGACAAUGGGCGAAAGCCUGAUCCAGCAAUGCCGCGUGUGUGAAGAAGGCCUUCGGGUUGUAAGCACUUUUGUCCGGAAAGAAAUGGCUCUGGUUAAUACCUGGGGUCGAUGACGGUACCGGAAGAAUAAGGACCGGCUAACUACGUGCCAGCCGCCGCGGUAA
RNAcentral lists this ribosomal RNA (507 nucleotides) under uncultured bacterium. RNAcentral's name for it is "partial 16S ribosomal RNA". It matches the Rfam family "Bacterial small subunit ribosomal RNA", at positions 30 to 523 of the family's 1533-position model. The record is from RNAcentral.